RNAcentral lists this ribosomal RNA (481 nucleotides) under uncultured bacterium. RNAcentral describes it as "partial 16S ribosomal RNA". It matches the Rfam family "Bacterial small subunit ribosomal RNA", at positions 28 to 507 of the family's 1533-position model. The record is from RNAcentral.
GAUGAACGCUGGCGGCGUGCUUAACACAUGCGAGUCGAACGAAGCACUUUAUUUGAUUUCCUUCGGGACUGAUUAUUUUGUGACUGAGUGGCGGACGUGUGAGUAACGCGUGGGUAACCUGCCUUCUACAGGGGGGUAACAGUUGGAAACGGCUGCUAAUACCGCAUAAGCGCACAGCAUCGCAUGAUGCAGUGUGAAAAACUCCGGUGGUAUAAGAUGGACGCGCGUUGGAUUAGCUGGUUGGUGAGGUAACGGCCCACCAAGGCGACGGUCCAUAGCCGAGAGGGGAGCGGGGCCCGACGCGUUGGGGGUGGGACACGGCGCGAAAUCGUACGCAAGGGAGCAGAGGGGAAUAUUGCACGAUGGGCGAUAGCAUGAUGCAGCGACGCCGCGUAAGCGAGGAAGUAUUUCGGUAUGUGAAGCUGUAUGAGAAGGGAAGAUAGUGACGGUACCUGACUAAGAAGCACCGGCUAAAUACGUG